CAGCAGCCGCGGGAAUACCGAGGGUGCGAGCGUUAAUCGGAUUUACUGGGCGUAAAGCGUGCGUAGGCGGCUAAUUGAGUCGGAUGUGAAAUCCCCGAGCUUAACUUGGGAAUUGCAUUCGAUACUGGUUAGCUAGAGUGUGGGAGAGGAUGGUAGAAUUCCAGGUGUAGCGGUGAAAUGCGUAGAGAUCUGGAGGAAUACCGAUGGCGAAGGCAGCCAUCUGGCCUAACACUGACGCUGAGGUACGAAAGCAUGGGGAGCAAACAGGAUUAGAUACCCCCGUAGUCCCUGUCUCUUAUAA
RNAcentral lists this ribosomal RNA (301 nucleotides) under uncultured bacterium. RNAcentral's name for it is "partial 16S ribosomal RNA". It matches the Rfam family "Bacterial small subunit ribosomal RNA", at positions 509 to 809 of the family's 1533-position model. The record is from RNAcentral.